CCCUUAGAUGUUCUGGGCUGCACGCGCGCUACACUGAUGCGCUCAACGAGUUUUAACCUUGCCUGGAAAGGUUGGGUAAUCUUUUUAAAACGCAUCGUGAUGGGGAUAGAUUAUUGCAAUUAUUAAUCUUCAACGAGGAAUUCCUAGUAAGCGCGAGUCAUCAGCUCGUGCUGAAUACGUCCCUGCCCUUUGUACACACCGCCCGUCGCUCCUACCGAUUGAGUGGUCCGGUGAGGCUUUGGGAUCUGAGCGGAAAGAGCGUUUCGCUGUUUCUGCCCGGAAAACUCAGUCGAACCUUAUCAUUUAGAGGAAGGAGAAGUCGUAACA
RNAcentral lists this ribosomal RNA (327 nucleotides) under uncultured eukaryote. Its description in RNAcentral is "partial 18S ribosomal RNA". It matches the Rfam family "Eukaryotic small subunit ribosomal RNA", at positions 1470 to 1796 of the family's 1831-position model. The record is from RNAcentral.